Carassius gibelio (silver crucian carp) is the source of this 616-nucleotide long non-coding RNA. RefSeq lists it as uncharacterized. The transcript has 3 exons. The record is from RefSeq and is a predicted model, not a curated record. Lineage: Eukaryota; Metazoa; Chordata; Actinopteri; Cypriniformes; Cyprinidae.
ACAAUGCCAACCGUGAGACAGCACGGAGAAGUGAUGGGACGGAGAAGUACUGUGUGCGGUAUCCGCGCUUCAGAAAAAGUGCCCAUGUGGUGCUUCCCAUCAAAGAGGCAGCCUCAUACGGUUAUGCAACAUCAUUAAUGAAGGCCCUUCGGGAAAGCUACACUAAUUCACCUGCAGCUCUUCGAGAGACAAGUCCAAUGAUUUAGUUGUAAGUAUUUAUUUUAGUUAGUUAUCUUCUUUCCCUCUGUCCCUGUCAUCUCAUUUGGUGGUGGUUUCCUGCAUGCUGCAUGGUUUGUUUUUUCUUUGUGUGCUGUUGCUUUGGUUUUACUUUGCACAAAAUUAUUACUUUUUUCCAUCUUUGUAAGUGGCAAUAAUUGUCGCUGUACCCCAUUCAAGGGGUCCUGCAUGCUGCAUGUCUGCUCCUCUGUCUGUUAUUUGCAUGAAAUUUGUUGUAUGUAAUUAAAAAUAAUUUACCAAUCAUUUUACCUGUGCCUUGUCAACCUCUGUGUGCGGUGUUGUCUGGGCUCACUGUGUGUCUGCUUGAUGUGCUUUUGCGUGUGUGUGUGUGUGUGUGAGAGAGAGAAACAAAAGAAACUGUGCAAACGUUUCAGGUCAG